This 455-nucleotide ribosomal RNA is filed under the name uncultured Flavobacteriaceae bacterium. RNAcentral describes it as "bacterial SSU rRNA". It matches the Rfam family "Bacterial small subunit ribosomal RNA", at positions 45 to 496 of the family's 1533-position model. Lineage: Bacteria; Pseudomonadati; Bacteroidota; Flavobacteriia; Flavobacteriales; Flavobacteriaceae. The record is from RNAcentral.
GGCCUUAUCAUGCAAGUCGAACGGUAACAUUGGUGCUUGCACCAGAUGACGAGUGGCGCACGGGUGCGUAACGCGUAUGCAACCUACCUUUUACUAGAGUAUAGCCCAGAGAAAUUUGGAUUAAUCCUCUAUAACAUCUUUUAAUUUCAUGAUUAUUAGAUUAAAGUUUUAACGGUAAAAGAUGGGCAUGCGUCCUAUUAGUUUGUAGGUGAGGUAACGGCUCACCUAGACUACGAUAGGUAGGGGCCCUUAGAGGGGGAUCCCCCACACUGGUACUGAGACACGGACCAGACUCCUACGGGAGGCAGCAGUAAGGAAUAUUGGACAAUGGACGAAAGUCUGAUCCAGCCAUGCCGCGUGCAGGAUGAAAGCCCUAUGGGUUGUAAACUGCUUUUAUACAGGAAGAAAAACUCCGACGUGUCGGAGCUUGACGGUACUGUAAGAAUAAGGAUCGG